This 398-nucleotide ribosomal RNA is filed under the name uncultured bacterium. Its description in RNAcentral is "bacterial SSU rRNA". It matches the Rfam family "Bacterial small subunit ribosomal RNA", at positions 358 to 773 of the family's 1533-position model. The record is from RNAcentral.
GGAAUAUUGGACAAUGGGCGAAAGCCUGAUCCAGCAAUGCCGCGUGAGUGAUGAAGGCCUUAGGGUUGUAAAGCUCUUUUACCAGGGAUGAUAAUGACAGUACCUGGAGAAUAAGCUCCGGCUAACUCCGUGCCAGCAGCCGCGGUAAUACGGAGGGUGCAAGCGUUAAUCGGAAUUACUGGGCGUAAAGCGCGCGUAGGCGGCUUUGUAAGUCGGAUGUGAAAGCCCUGGGCUUAACCUGGGAAUUGCAUUCGAUACUGCAUGGCUAGAGUAUGGUAGAGGGAAGUGGAAUUUCCGGUGUAGCGGUGAAAUGCGUAGAUAUCGGAAGGAACACCAGUGGCGAAGGCGACUUCCUGAGCCAAUACUGACGCUGAGGUGCGAAAGCGUGGGGAGCAAAC